GACGAACGCUGGCGGCGUGCUUAACACAUGCAAGUCGAACGGUGAAGCGCCUUCCUUUUUGGUGGGUGUGGAUGAGUGGCGAACGGGUGAGUAACACGUGAGUAACCUGCCCCCUUCUUCUGGAUAACCGCAUGAAAGUGUGGCUAAUACGGGAUAUUCUGGGUCUGUCGCAUGAUGGGUCUGGGAAAGAUAUUGUUUCGGUGGGGGAUGGGCUCGCGGCCUAUCAGCUUGUUGGUGGGGUGAUGGCCUACCAAGGCGCUGACGGGUAGCCGGCCUGAGAGGGUGGACGGUCACACUGGGACUGAGACACGGCCCAGACUCCUACGGGAGGCAGCAGUGGGGAAUAUUGCACAAUGGGCGCAAGCCUGAUGCAGCGACGCCGCGUGAGGGAUGGAGGCCUUCGGGUUGUGAACCUCUUUCGCCAGUGAAGCAGGCCUGCCUCGUUUGUGGGUGGGUUGACGGUAGCUGGAUAAGAAGCGCCGGCUAACUACGUG
Molecule: ribosomal RNA, 494 nt
Filed under: uncultured bacterium
Lineage: Bacteria
Description: partial 16S ribosomal RNA
Rfam family: Bacterial small subunit ribosomal RNA
Source: RNAcentral